AUUUUGCUAACGCUAACGGGGUUUCAACAUGGAUCCACGGAGUAUAGAGUACAUAUAUACUUAACUCAAUUAUAUUUUUUUGGUUGAGAACGCUGUAUUUUCAGUUAUCAAGAUCCGGUAACGGUAGCUCUACCGAUGACACACAUAUUAAUUAGAAAACACAGUAGAGUGUAGUGACUGGAGAUUUGAUCAACGACUUAUCAAGAUACGAAAUCAUACCACUUUGUUGUGCGAACACUGCAGUAAUAGUAAAGUAGCAUCUUGCUACCACACACCACUUCAGUUUGAGCACAGCUUUAUGAAAUGCCAAGUAACAGGAAGUGAUAUGACAAGUGGAAGGUGUCAACAUGAUGAUGGAUACAGCAACAAUAGAUAAAAAAAAAACGGUGUUAAAUAGUGGAUGACAGAUAUGAGAAACAACAGAUUGGAAAGUCAAUAGUAUCAAAGGUCCACUGAACUUAACAAAUAAUGUGACACUGAUAUGAUACAUAUCUGGAAGAAAUAUUGAUUGAUACUGAUGCAAGUUUUAUUCAAGAGACAUUGAAAUGUAAUGUGCACAUAUACAUAUGUGUAAAACACUAAUUCAAUGCUUAAAUAUUAUGUCACACAAAAGUAGUGUGUUAUAGCAAUCAAACAGUAAAUAAUAAUAAUCUGGAAUAUAGAUUAAACACUUUAACAACAAGACAAAACAUAACAAUGAACAAUAUUUCAUAAAAUCUAUAUCAAAACUAAA
This is a long non-coding RNA of Zootermopsis nevadensis, 733 nucleotides long. RefSeq lists it as uncharacterized. Lineage: Eukaryota; Metazoa; Arthropoda; Insecta; Blattodea; Termopsidae. The record is from RefSeq and is a predicted model, not a curated record.